Molecule: non-coding RNA, 110 nt
Organism: Xylariaceae sp. FL0594
Lineage: Eukaryota; Fungi; Ascomycota; Sordariomycetes; Xylariales; Xylariaceae
Source: the annotation of a GenBank genome assembly
GGUCGGUUAGCUCAGUUGGUUAGAGCGUCGUACUAAUAUCCUAUCGUGAUUCCAACAUGGUAAAAUAUCGGUCCAUGCGAAGGUCAUGGGUUCGACCCCCAUACUGACCA